AAUAAGAUGCCUGAAUUAAAAGGAUUAUUUUGAUAGAAUAAAAAAUGUAGAGAAUUCUACUCUUAUUA
RNAcentral lists this transfer RNA (68 nucleotides) under Orius sauteri. RNAcentral describes it as "tRNA-Ile". The record is from RNAcentral. Lineage: Eukaryota; Metazoa; Arthropoda; Insecta; Hemiptera; Anthocoridae.